Molecule: transfer RNA, 73 nt
Filed under: Trichonephila clavata
Lineage: Eukaryota; Metazoa; Arthropoda; Arachnida; Araneae; Nephilidae
Rfam family: tRNA
About the family: Transfer RNA (tRNA) molecules are approximately 80 nucleotides in length. Their secondary structure includes four short double-helical elements and three loops (D, anti-codon, and T loops).
Source: Rfam by way of RNAcentral
GUGCCUGUAGCGUGAUGGAUAACGCGUUGAACUUUUAAUCCAAAGGUCGUGGGUUCGAAUCCCACCUGGGAUG